Molecule: ribosomal RNA, 253 nt
Filed under: uncultured bacterium
Lineage: Bacteria
Description: partial 16S ribosomal RNA
Rfam family: Bacterial small subunit ribosomal RNA
Source: RNAcentral
UACAGAGGUCUCAAGCGUUGUUCGGAUUCAUUGGGCGUAAAGGGUGUGUAGGCGGACUUUUAAGUCAGCGGUGAAAUCUCCGGGCUCAACCCGGAAACUGCCAUUGAUACUAUUGGUCUUGAAUGUUGUUGAGGUGGGCGGAACGGGUCAUGUAGCGGUGAAAUGCAUAGAUAUGACCCGGAACACCGAUUGCGAAGGCAGCCCACUAAGCAAUGAUUGACGCUGAGGCACGAAAGCGUGGGGAUCAAACAGG